Small nucleolar RNA from Suncus etruscus (white-toothed pygmy shrew), 133 nucleotides. RefSeq annotates it as small nucleolar RNA SNORA51. The record is from RefSeq and is a predicted model, not a curated record. Lineage: Eukaryota; Metazoa; Chordata; Mammalia; Eulipotyphla; Soricidae. The transcript has a single exon.
GGCCUCCCAAUUCUUACCACAGGCUGUGUUCUUUACACUGUAUAGAAAGAGAAGGUACAGUAAGUACAUGCACCCCAUAUACACCUCAACACAGGCCCUUUGUCUGGUUUGUAUUGUGAAAUGGGGGACAAAA